CCCGAGCGGGCCGGCGCCCACGCAGCCCGCCCGGCCCCGCCGCGCGCGCUUCGCCAGGUUCGCGCGCCGGCGCCGGUCGGGCAGGCGCAGAGGUGGCGCGCGAGCCCGCGACCGCAGCCCACCUGGCGGCGGCGCUCCCAGCUUCCUCCUCCCGGCUCUCGCUCAGCGAGCUCUCGCUCUGCUCGCGCUCUUCCAGCCGCGGCGGCUCGCAGCUCCCGCGGGUUUCGUUCAGCCCGCGUGCCCCGUCCCUAGGUUGAGUUAAUUAAGAGAAGGUCUCCAUGGAAACGGUUGACACCUAAGAUUUCCACCCCUGGAAUUCACACCCUGUAUAAUCCGCACCCCCACCCCUGAGGUGGACCUGUAAAAAUGACGAGAUCAUCACUUCCAUGAUUAUGUUAUUUGUACAAGACUUCACUGUACCAGAACAAAAGAGACUUUCUCCUGCUGACUUUGAAGAAGUAAGUUGUCAUGAUGUGAGAGGGCCAGGUGGUUAGAACAUGAGCCUUGCCUCCUGGGGGCUGAAGAGUGUGCCCCAGUCUACAGCCAGCCAGAACACAGGGAUCUCAGUCCUACAAUCACAAGGAACUUAAAUGUGCCAGUAACUUGAAUGAGCCUGGAAAAAGAGGACCCACAGCUUCAGAUGAGAUCACAGUCCCAACUAACAACUUGAUUUCAACGUGGUGAGAACCUGAGCAGAGCCCAGACUCCUGAUUCACAGAAACCAUCGGAUAAUAAAUGUUUGGAUUCAAGACAUGGAAUUUGUGGUACUUUGUUUCACAGCAAUAGAAAACUAAUACUUGCCCAACAAUUAACAUGAUUGCAAGCUUGGGCAGUCAUUGGGCAGAAGUUUCUAACUAGAGCUCAGGGAAAAGAUGGCCUGUCCUCUUUGUUGGAAAACAUACUAAAGGCAGUUUCAUCAAAGCUGCUGUGUUCGUAUAUACAAAGUUGCAGUGGCCAAAGUUGGCACAUGGGAUCCUGGGAAUGCAGUAGAAGAAAAUGAAGUUGGCAGAGAAAGAGAUAAAUGCAUUUAAGUCCUGGCAUUUCAUUUGUUCCUGCCCAUCUCAAACUUGGUUAUCUCAAAUUUUUAAAUUCUGUGCAAGAUAUUCUUUGCAGAGUCACCCAUCCUUCCCAGGAUUAGUAAGUAAAAUCAUUGAUCCCAGAUAUCCUAGUUCCAGAGGCUGUUUUCCUAACCAUUAAUCACAUAAAGAGCUAUAGAAUAUCCUUUACCCAUUGAUUAAAUAAUUAAUUUCAUCUUAUUUGAUACAAGUUAUAGCAGCUGCAGAUUGAGAAAAUGAACAUAACUACAAAAAGUAUAGGUAUUCAGGUACUACUUUUAGCACAAGGUCUAAUAUAUUUAUAUCCUAUAGACUUUGUCUAAAGCUAAAUAAAUGUUGAUUUUAAUCUAUGCUGUUCAACAUUACAUACAUUUGGUUAAGCAUGUGUUAUCCUAAUAGUAGAGUCAUGUUAUUUUCUCAAGACUCCUUUGCAAAAAUUUGUAGACCUGUUGUAUAAUGUUGAUAUUUGAAUCUCAGAGUUUGUACUGUUCUAAAAUAUAAAAACAAAACAAAAUUCAUGAACUAAAAUUGUAUAAGAGAACAAAACUGA
Long non-coding RNA from Felis catus (domestic cat), 1605 nucleotides. RefSeq lists it as uncharacterized. The record is from RefSeq and is a predicted model, not a curated record. The transcript is spliced from 2 exons. Lineage: Eukaryota; Metazoa; Chordata; Mammalia; Carnivora; Felidae.